GAAUGCAAGAAGAGAGUGAUUCUUUGGGGAGCAUAUAAUUUGGUGAGGUGAAAUCUGAUUGUGCUGAUGCUUUGGGGAAGAACAUAUCAGUAUCAAUGGUGAGCAGAAGAGGAGCAGGGAUGAUGAAAGACCACACAUUCUCCAAAAGUCACUAAGCACUGUCCACAGAUCGAACAUUCAUAUUUUCAGAUAGUGUAAGU
Molecule: long non-coding RNA, 200 nt
Filed under: Papio anubis (olive baboon)
Lineage: Eukaryota; Metazoa; Chordata; Mammalia; Primates; Cercopithecidae
Description: lncRNA (ENSPANG00000045515.1)
Source: RNAcentral